AGCGAACGCUGGCGGCAGGCCUAACACAUGCAAGUCGAACGGACCCUUCGGGGUUAGUGGCGGACGGGUGAGUAACACGUGGGAACGUGCUUUUAGGUUCGGAAUAGCUCCUGGAAACGGGUGGUAAUGCCGAAUGUGCCCUUCGGGGGAAAGAUUUAUCGCCUUUAGAGCGGCCCGCGUCUGAUUAGCUUGUUGGUGGGGUAAUGGCCCACCAAGGCUACGAUCAGUAGCUGGUCUGAGAGGAUGACCAGCCACAUUGGGACUGAGACACGGCCCAAACUCCUACGGGAGGCAGCAGUGGGGAAUCUUGCGCAAUGGGCGAAAGCCUGACGCAGCCAUGCCGCGUGUAUGAUGAAGGUCUUAGGAUUGUAAAAUACUUUCACCGGUGAAGGUAAUGACUGUAGCCGGAGAAGAAGCCCCGGCUAACUUCGUGCCAGCAGCCGCGGUAAUACGAAGGGGGCUAGCGUUGCUCGGAAUUACUGGGCGUAAAGGGAGCGUAGGCGGACAUUUAAGUCAGG
RNAcentral lists this ribosomal RNA (518 nucleotides) under uncultured bacterium. Its description in RNAcentral is "bacterial SSU rRNA". It matches the Rfam family "Bacterial small subunit ribosomal RNA", at positions 28 to 592 of the family's 1533-position model. The record is from RNAcentral.